This 404-nucleotide ribosomal RNA is filed under the name uncultured bacterium. Its description in RNAcentral is "bacterial SSU rRNA". It matches the Rfam family "Bacterial small subunit ribosomal RNA", at positions 355 to 776 of the family's 1533-position model. The record is from RNAcentral.
UGGGGAAUAUUGGACAAUGGGCGAAAGCCUGAUCCAGCAAUGCCGCGUGAAUGACGAAGGCCUUAGGGUUGUAAAGUUCUUUUAGUAGGGAAGAUAAUGACGGUACCUACAGAAAAAGCCCCGGCUAACUCCGUGCCAGCAGCCGCGGUAAGACGGAGGGGGCUAGCGUUGUUCGGAAUUACUGGGCGUAAAGAGCGCGUAGGCGGUUUGGUAAGUUGGAAGUGAAAGCCCGAGGCUUAACCUCGGAAUUGCUUUCAAAACUGCUAAUCUAGAGUGUAGUAGGGGAUGAUGGAAUUCCUAGUGUAGAGGUGAAAUUCUUAGAUAUUAGGAGGAACACCGAUGGCGAAGGCAGUCAUCUGGGCUACAACUGACGCUAAUGCGCGAAAGCGUGGGGAGCAAACAGG